ACAGCAUGGUGGGGGCAUUUAUGAAUAAGGUCUCUUAACAUUUCCCAUAUCUCAUGAAAAAGUUCACCAUCCAAUUGAAAAAAAUCAGUGAUGGCUUUUCUAAUUU
Molecule: small nucleolar RNA, 106 nt
Organism: Elaeis guineensis (African oil palm)
Lineage: Eukaryota; Viridiplantae; Streptophyta; Magnoliopsida; Arecales; Arecaceae
Source: RefSeq, a predicted model, not a curated record